CGCGGCCUAUCAGCUUGUUGGCGAGGUAACGGCUCACCAAGGCAACGACGGGUAGCUGGUCUGAGAGGAUGGCCAGCCACAUUGGGACUGAGAUACGGCCCAGACUCCUACGGGAGGCAGCAGUGGGGAAUCUUGCGCAAUGGCCUAACGGCCGACGCAGCGACGCCGCGUGUGGGAUGAAGCUCCUCGGAGUGUAAACCACUGUUGCCCGGGACGAAUAGCUCGAUUAAUCGAGCCUGACGGUACCGGGUGAGGAAGCACCGGCUAACUCCGUGCCAGCAGCCGCGGUAAUACGGGGGGUGCGAGCGUUGUCCGGAAUCACUGGGCGUAAAGGGCGCGUAGGUGGUUUGAUAAGGGUGUGGUGAAAGUCCGGGGCUCAACCCCGGAUCUGCCGUGCCGACUGUCAAACUCGAGGGCUGUAGAGGCAGACGGAAUUCCGGGUGUAGCGGUGGAAUGCGUAGAGAUCCGGAGGAAGACCGGUGGCGAAGGCGGUCUGCUGGGCAGUUUCUGACACUGAUGCGCGACAGCGUGGGGAGCAAACAGGAUUAGAUACCCUGGUAGUCCACGCCGUAAACGAUGGGUACUAGGUGCCUGGGGGAGCGACCCUCUGGGUGCCGGCGCUAACGCAGGAAGUACCCCGCCUGGGGAGUACGG
Molecule: ribosomal RNA, 654 nt
Filed under: uncultured bacterium
Lineage: Bacteria
Description: bacterial SSU rRNA
Rfam family: Bacterial small subunit ribosomal RNA
Source: RNAcentral